GGAGUUAGCCGGUGCUUCUUCUGUGAGUGAUGUCCUUCCUGCCGGCUAUUAACCCGCAGGCCUUCUUCCUCACUGAAAGUGCUUUACAACCCGAAGGCCUUCUUCACACACGCGGCAUGGCUGGAUCAGGGUUGCCCCCAUUGUCCAAUAUUCCCCACUGCUGCCUCCCGUAGGAGUCUGGGCCGUGUCUCAGUCCCAGUGUGGCUGAUCAUCCUCUCAGACCAGCUACGGAUCGUCGCCUUGGUGAGCCGUUACCUCACCAACCAGCUAAUCCGACAUAGGCUCAUCCGAUAGCGCGAGGCCCGAAGGUCCCCCGCUUUCCCCCGUAGGGCGUAUGCGGUAUUAGCCUGGGUUUCCCCAGGUUAUCCCCCACUACCGGGCAGAUUCCUAUGCAUUACUCACCCGUCCGCCGCUCGCCACCAGGGAGCAAUCUCCCCGUGCUGCCGCUCGACUUGCAUGUGUUAGGCCUGCCGCCAGCGUUCAAUCUGAGCCAGGAUCAAACUCUGA
Molecule: ribosomal RNA, 507 nt
Filed under: uncultured bacterium
Lineage: Bacteria
Description: partial 16S ribosomal RNA
Source: RNAcentral